AUUAUUACUAUUAUUAUUAUUAUCCUUAACUUUGGCUUUCUAUUGUCUAGCCAUCAUAACUAUUUACUAACAGAUGUCUCAAGUUGUAAAAAAAUGAAUUGAUAGGUAAUACUCAUCACUCAUAUUGAAUAGACAACUGAAGGAUUAACAUCCAAAAAUGUGAAUCACAUACAAUUGCCAAGUUUGUAACUUGAAGAAAAGUUAUAAGUUCAAUGAAGCUGUUGACAACCAACCCACCAAAAAAAGUGGCACUCAGCAUAAUGAUUUCAUCUUUUGCUGUUUUUCUUUGCCAUGCGAACCUAUUGACUGUAAAAUCAAG
Molecule: unclassified non-coding RNA, 319 nt
Filed under: Hevea brasiliensis (rubber tree)
Lineage: Eukaryota; Viridiplantae; Streptophyta; Magnoliopsida; Malpighiales; Euphorbiaceae
Source: RNAcentral